RNAcentral lists this ribosomal RNA (450 nucleotides) under uncultured bacterium. RNAcentral describes it as "partial 16S ribosomal RNA". It matches the Rfam family "Bacterial small subunit ribosomal RNA", at positions 29 to 523 of the family's 1533-position model. The record is from RNAcentral.
ACGAACGCUGGCGGCAGGCUUAACACAUGCAAGUCGAACGGACGUAGCAAUACGUUAGUGGCAGACGGGUGAGUAACGCGUGGGAAUAUGCCCUUUAGUUCGGAAUAACCAAGGGAAACUUUGGCUAAUACCGGAUAAUCCCGAGAGGGGAAAGACUUAUCGCUGAAGGAGUAGCCCGCGUCUGAUUAGCUAGUUGGUGAGGUAAUGGCUCACCAAGGCGACGAUCAGUAGCUGGUCUGAGAGGAUGAUCAGCCACACUGGGACUGAGACACGGCCCAGACUCCUACGGGAGGCAGCAGUGGGGAAUAUUGGACAAUGGGGGCAACCCUGAUCCAGCCAGGCCGCGUGGGUGAUGAAGGCCUUAGGGUUGUAAAACUCUUUUAUCCGGGAAGAUAAUGACUGUACCGGAAGAAUAAGCCCCGGCAAACUUCGUGCCAGCCGCCGCAGUAA